Molecule: long non-coding RNA, 2029 nt
Filed under: Marmota monax (woodchuck)
Lineage: Eukaryota; Metazoa; Chordata; Mammalia; Rodentia; Sciuridae
Source: RNAcentral
AGGAAUGAUCCCAGGCCCAGCAUAAAGUUGAUUUAGUAACCUAAAGUGUGGAAAUCUCUGAGGUGAGAGGUUUCAUAUCCAGAAUCAAACUCAGGGAAUCACUCUCAGGUAGGAAGAAUGGAAAGACAAAGGGGGAUCGCAGCUAUGAAAUACAUCCUAAAUCACAAGAAGCUUCUUUUACAAAGUACAAAAGCCACACCUUGUCCAUUGAUCAUGAGCAGAAUUCUGGUGCAUUGAAAGUGCUUCCCAGUGUGGAAACCAAGGUCCAUCCCAGAUCCUCUGCUGACUUGAGAGGUCACCAGCAUGCCAUUUGAGUGACUUGAGGGGUAGGUUUUAACACAUAAAAUGGAGGGAAUGAUUAGGAGGAAUAAUUAGGAAGAUACUAAUUAUUUCCAAUUUACAGAGGAGGAGACUGAGGCUUUGUGUUCCUUGUCCUACACUCUAAUGUGUCCAUUGUCACCUGCUGGUAAACGGCAGCACUAUUCAAUGCCACGAUUGUUCCACCCCCAUAGAAAUGCAGGAAGCCUCGUAUCUUUACCAUCCUAAUGUCAAAGAGCAUUAUUACCAUUGCUACUUAUUAAUAUUAUAUCUAUAAAAAUCUGGGGAAAAGGUAAUCAAAGAUGCACAUGGUUAAAGAUCUUUAAUGAUGGGCCAGUCAGCCUGCCUAGACGGAGGCCUUUCUUUAGACAACCCACUCAGGUGGACCUGACAUGUCUCUAGUUGGGCUGACUUCCUGAGGGGCAGCACAGACUUUUGAUUAAGAACAGAGGGUUUAAGGGGAAGCUCUAAAAGCUAUGGAAUUUCUAGAUGGCUGGAAUGGGAUCGCACAUUCUGGGUUACGUUGUGGAAAUCACUGAACUGCUCAGCUCAAAGCGAACUCUGUGGAGUAAGUGCUUGAUGAAAAGACACCAAAUACGCUGAGCGCAACGUGCGCUCUUCUGAUUUCUGCUGCCGCCCUGUGAAUUGGGGUCCACUCUCCUCAUUUUAGCAAUAGGGAAGAGAUUCCCGGAGUGGAUGAAUCUCUUCUUUCACACAGCUCACAACGUAUUAAUCACACUAAUAAUGAGCAUUGGCUAAGCUUUUGGUACAUGUGGCGACUCUUCUAAUUGGUGCAUUAAUUCAUGUGAUUAUUUAAAUGACCCUGUGAUGCAAGUGUUAGUAGGUUUGUCAUUCCACAAAUGAAGAAACCGAGGGGCAGAGAGGGAAGUGUCCAAUUGGAAGAAGUAGAACUUGGCCUGAUUCCUGGGGCUGUCUUCCUUCCCUCAUGUAACGGCUUACUGUGGAGUUCUGGGCUGCUCUGCGAGGGGGUAGUAAGAGGAGUGAUGGGAGAAUAAUUUGGACAAGGUCAGUAACUCCCAUACCAUCUAGAAAUUGAGAGUUUAAAAGGCAAGGUCUGCAACUUUCCUUGAUUUCUGCAGAAAUAGAGAUGAUCCCUCCUGCGACAGUGCUAAGUGAUGACUCUGAGGGUAAAUGUGCUUUUUGGCACAAAUUGUCCAGUCCUAAUAGUCUUGAUUAUAAUUAUAAAAUAAUGGGUUUCUGAAAGGCUGCAAGCCGUUCUGGGAAUGACAAUAAGGGUUUAGAAACAACAUGGUGUUUAUGGAAGAAGCGUUUUGUAGAAAAUUAAAACCACGUUUAGGGGAAAGUAUCGUGUUGUUUGCUCCUAAGAAAUGAUCUCACUAUGCAAUUAAAUCAAAACCUGUCAGUUGCCAAUCUGAGGUCUUGUCUCACACACAACACCCCACUCCCAUGAGCAAAGCAGACAGGAAUGACCUAAAGUAACCAAGCCCCACUCCUACCCACGGACUCCCCAGCUCUUGUCCCUCUCUCUCCAAGGCCAGAGUGUGGCAUUGUAUUGCAUAACCCUCUUUUUCCUGCAACUCUGUCUUCUUUGAAAGACUCUUCCUUGGAAGUCUUCCCACCUCCACAGAAAAAAGAAUGAGUACUUCCUGUGUCGGGGAUUUCCUGGGAGGUGCCAUAGAGCAAUCAUUAAAAAUAAAUAAAUAAACAAAUAAAUAAAAACAAAACUUUA